UUGGGGUUGCGGACAUAUCAUAACGAAGAGGUAUCGUAAUUGAAGAGGUUUGGAAAGACCCACCACAGAAGGUAAUAGUCCUGUAUGUUAAACGAGAAGACUUUAGAUAUGAUCCAGAGUACCACGGGACACGUGAAACCCUGUGGGAAGCAGGAGGGACCACCCUCCAAGGCUAAAUACUACCUAGUGACCGAUAGCGUAUAGUACCGUGAGGGAAAGGUGAAAAGAACCCCGGGAGGGGAGUGAAAUAGACCCUGAAACCCUGCACUUACAAGCUGUGGAAGCACAUUUCUUGUGUGACCGCGUACUUUUUGUAGAACGGGCCAACGAGUUACGUUAAGUAGCAAGGUUAAGCACUUAAGGUGUGGAGCCGUAGCGAAAGCGAGUUUUAACUGAGCGUUCAGUUACUUGACGUAGACCCGAAACCGGGCGACCUACCCAUGAGCAGGAUGAAGCGAAAGUAAAAUUUCGUGGAGGUCCGAACCCACGAGCGUUGAAAAGCUCGGGGAUGACUUGUGGGUAGCGGUGAAAUUCCAAUCGAGCCCGGAGAUAGCUGGUUCUCCCCGAAAUAGCUUUAGGGCUAGCCUCAAGGUGAGAGAUACGGAGGUAGAGCACUGAAUGUCCUAGGGGGUAUUGCACCUACCGAAG
RNAcentral lists this ribosomal RNA (648 nucleotides) under Clostridioides difficile. RNAcentral's name for it is "bacterial LSU rRNA". It matches the Rfam family "Bacterial large subunit ribosomal RNA", at positions 292 to 944 of the family's 2925-position model. The record is from RNAcentral. Lineage: Bacteria; Bacillati; Bacillota; Clostridia; Peptostreptococcales; Peptostreptococcaceae.